ACAAGGUUGUGAUUUCUAUCACAUGUUUGUUUGAUACACAAGGUCCUUCCAUCAUGUACCCACCCACACAUGCAAAUGAAUUCGUUUGGUGGUUAUAUCUUGAGUGGCAUCUGAAUACACAAGCGUGACUAAUAGUAAGCGUGAGUGCUAGAGAAGUCCCCAUUUAGCAUGAUGGAGAGCAGGAUUGUCCCCAUUUGUAUUUGGUUCACACAGUUGUAGCUUCCUUUUUCUACGGGUUGCAAUGAUAUGGCUUGGUCGCGGCUUAGGCCAGACAGAGAUGAUCCAGUACUAAUUAAGCAUCAUUGAUAAAUAACAAGAGGGGCAUGUGAGGAGCUCUGUCUUGCUUGUAAUAGCUAAACUAUUGUUACCUACUUAAUGAGAUCCAUCGUCGAUCUGCUCUA
This is a non-coding RNA of Triticum urartu, 401 nucleotides long. The record is from RefSeq and is a predicted model, not a curated record. Lineage: Eukaryota; Viridiplantae; Streptophyta; Magnoliopsida; Poales; Poaceae.